This 454-nucleotide ribosomal RNA is filed under the name uncultured bacterium. RNAcentral describes it as "bacterial SSU rRNA". It matches the Rfam family "Bacterial small subunit ribosomal RNA", at positions 340 to 784 of the family's 1533-position model. The record is from RNAcentral.
UACGGAAGGCAGCAGUGGGGAAUAUUGCACAAUGGGCGCAAGCCUGAUGCAGCCAUGCCGCGUGUAUGAAGAAGGCCUUCGGGUUGUAAAGUACUUUCAGUCGUGAGGAAGGUGUUAAGGUUAAUAACCUUAGCAAUUGACGUUAGCGACAGAAGAAGCACCGGCUAACUCCGUGCCAGCAGCCGCGGUAAUACGGAGGGUGCGAGCGUUAAUCGGAAUUACUGGGCGUAAAGGGCACGCAGGCGGUUAAUUAAGUUGGAUGUGAAAUCCCCGGGCUUAACCUGGGAAUGGCAUUCAAGACUGGUUAGCUAGAGUCUUGUAGAGGGGGUAGAAUUCCAUGUGUAGCGGUGAAAUGCGUAGAGAUGUGGAGGAAUACCGGUGGCGAAGGCGGCCCCUGGGACAAAGGACUGACGCUCAUGUGCGAAAGCGUGGGGAGCGAAACAGGAUUUAGAUA